GGGAGUAUAGCUCAGUGGUACAGUGCCUGCUUAGCAAACACAAGGUCCUGGGUUCAAUCCCAAGUGCCUCCA
RNAcentral lists this transfer RNA (72 nucleotides) under Camelus bactrianus (Bactrian camel). It matches the Rfam family "tRNA". Rfam says of the family: Transfer RNA (tRNA) molecules are approximately 80 nucleotides in length. Their secondary structure includes four short double-helical elements and three loops (D, anti-codon, and T loops). The record is from Rfam by way of RNAcentral. Lineage: Eukaryota; Metazoa; Chordata; Mammalia; Artiodactyla; Camelidae. RNAcentral also lists the same sequence under 2 other names.